RNAcentral lists this ribosomal RNA (467 nucleotides) under uncultured bacterium. RNAcentral describes it as "partial 16S ribosomal RNA". It matches the Rfam family "Bacterial small subunit ribosomal RNA", at positions 28 to 507 of the family's 1533-position model. The record is from RNAcentral.
GACGAACGCUGGCGGCGUGCUUAACACAUGCAAGUCGAACGGAAAGGCUCCAGCUUGCUGGAGUACUCGAGUGGCGAACGGGUGAGUAACACGUGGGUAAUCUGCCCUGCACUCUGGGAUAAGCCUGGGAAACUGGGUCUAAUACUGGAUAUGACCUUUCUCCUUAUGGGGUUUGGUGGAAAGUUUUUCGGUGUAGGAUGAGCCCGCGGCCUAUCAGCUUGUUGGUGGGGUGAUGGCCUACCAAGGCGACGACGGGUAGCCGGCCUGAGAGGGUGAUCGGCCACAUUGGGACUGAGAUACGGCCCAGACUCCUACGGGAGGCGGCAGUGGGGAAUAUUGCACAAUGGGCGGAAGCCCGAUGCAGCGACGCCGCGUGAGGGAUGACGGCCUUCGGGUUGUAAACCUCUUUCAGCAGGGACGAAGCGUAAGUGACGGUACCUGCAGAAGAAGCACCGGCUAACUAUGUG